Molecule: ribosomal RNA, 301 nt
Filed under: uncultured bacterium
Lineage: Bacteria
Description: partial 16S ribosomal RNA
Rfam family: Bacterial small subunit ribosomal RNA
Source: RNAcentral
CAGCCGCCGCGGUAAUACGGAGGGUGCAAGCGUUAAUCGGAAUUACUGGGCGUAAAGCGCACGCAGGCGGUCUGACAAGUCAGAUGUGAAAUCCCCGGGCUUAACCUGGGAACUGCAUUUGAAACUGUCAGGCUGGAGUCUUGUAGAGGGGGGUGGAAUUCCAGGUGUAGCGGUGAAAUGCGUAGAGAUCUGGAGGAAUACCGGUGGCGAAGGCGGCCCCCUGGACAAAGACUGACGCUCAGGUGCGAAAGCGUGGGGAGCAAACAGGAUUAAAUACCCGUGUAGUCCCUGUCUCUUAUAC